ACAUUGUGAUACAAUGGAGUUAAAUUAAACGUUUAUUUUGUAUUUUUAUCUCAAAACGUAUUCUUGUUUUAUAUUUACUAUCUUUGAUACAUCGUUUUUCUGUACCUACCUUCUGUACUAGUUUCUGUAUCUACGUCAUAUAUCGAAUGUUUUUAGUUACAUUGAAUUCUGGGUUAUUAACUCAACUACGCUUAUAGGGUGAUGUUUUUAUCGUGAAUCAACAAGGGAUGGAUAGCAGUCAUAUCAUAUUCAUAUAUUUAUAUAUGUUUAGAUAUUCAUUCCGUAAGUUCAUCGGUUUAAAUGUUAAACUAUAACAUUUAAGCUUUAUCAUGUGAACAAUAAGUUCAAUAUGAGUGUUACGCAACAAAAUUUUACAAAAACUAUUU
Non-coding RNA from Cinara cedri, 386 nucleotides. The record is from the annotation of a GenBank genome assembly. NCBI's taxonomy places the organism in Eukaryota, Metazoa, Arthropoda, Insecta, Hemiptera, Aphididae.